Molecule: long non-coding RNA, 1244 nt
Filed under: Lathyrus oleraceus (garden pea)
Lineage: Eukaryota; Viridiplantae; Streptophyta; Magnoliopsida; Fabales; Fabaceae
Description: Pisum sativum (pea) long non-coding RNA (PSAT_LNC022056)
Source: RNAcentral
GUUUAGGUAGGGUAUGAAAUUGGAACAACGGUUUUUGGGUCUUUUGGUUCAGAGUACAUGAAAUCAUUCUCUCACUACGUUUCUUUCCUAUUAUUCCUGUAGGGUUUUGCAAUCCUCUUUUCCUUUUAUCUAUAGUGAAUGUAGCAUUUUUCAAAAGCUGUUCUUUUAUUGUUUUUCGCUUUUCUCUUUCUUUCUUUUCAUGUUGUUGUUGUUUUUCUUUUCUUUUUUUUUUCUUUUUUUUUCUUUUAUACGACAUUCACUUACUAUUCACUUACUAUUCACGUACUGCAAAGCUACCCCAAACUUAAAGGUUGCUAUUCCAACAGCAACCCCAAACUUAGAUAGAAACGUAGAGAUGAACUCAAUCCUCACAUACUCUGAACAGGGUAGGAUAGGUACAAGGUCAUGGCUUUAGAAAAAAUGGGUAUAUCAGAAAUAAAUGAUUAACAGGCUCAACAGGGUAAAACAAUGGAUAAUAAUAAUAAUGGGAUGGCUAGAAAGGCUCUAGGUGAUAAAUAAAAAACAUGCCUCAGUGUGUGUAGUCGUACAGCUAAUAAUAACAAAAGAACAUACGCAAACUAAGAUUGAUAAAGACAUACCUGAUAUCUCUCAUAUGAUGAUAAGUGUUUGGCUUUUUCUGAUCUCACCAGGACGGGUUAAGCUGACUUGUUCUAUCAUACCUCUGAGUUCAAAGCUCAUGCUCGUGGUUCUGAUGUUAAUCUUAACCAGUGCGUCCAAUCAUAAACAACAGUAUCUACAGUCAGGGGACUGAAAGAGAGGACGCCCAAGUAUUUGGUGUAAGUGAUCAAGAAAACCAAUAGCCAGACAUAGUCACAUAUCUAACGAAAUAAACAGGAAAAUGGAGGUAAACAAAAUCAAAUUCAUUAGAUUAAGACAACCCAUAAUAGGUGAUUACAUCAAAGCAAAAGAAAAUAAAAACUGAAUCAACCUAAAAAAAAAACAAAAAUACACAAAGAAAUUUCAAACCUCCCUUGGGUUGCCUCCCAAGCAGCGCUUCGUUUAACGUCGCAUGGCUCGACGGGACACCUCAUACUCAGAUGAGUUUAACAGUUUCAAUUGGUCCCCCUUCACCGGGAUCAUAUGGUUUCAACCUCUGACCAUUAACCUUGAAGGUGUCGCCAUUCUUCUCAUUUAAAACACCAAUACCACUUUUAUGUUUCUUCAGUACCUUUUCAUCUUCUAAUUCUGGUGAAGCUCUCAGAUCCUCCCACCUGCGUGGGUUG